Non-coding RNA from Pocillopora verrucosa, 2045 nucleotides. The record is from RefSeq and is a predicted model, not a curated record. NCBI's taxonomy places the organism in Eukaryota, Metazoa, Cnidaria, Anthozoa, Scleractinia, Pocilloporidae.
ACGAGCAGGUGAUAAGAACUGACAGUGAAAACAAACAAACUGGCUGAGGGGCAAGAAAAUGAGAGUGAUCAAGAUGAGAGCGAUAUUUUUUUAUCCCUCUUCUCAUUAGCAGUCAAUUUACUAUAGUCCACUUUAAUCAUCAUUGGCAGUCCAUUGCAGGUGAUGUUGACUGAGAAACAGUUAAGUGCUUUAGGGGCAUUGAUGCACUGCAAGUUCAGCAUGUGAGCAGCACAGUCUACUGCAAUGGUUGCAUUUAAGACUGUCAGUUGUUGGUGUGCCUCCUUUUGUGAGCUGCUUGAAACUCUGUUGGCGACAGCUGAUUCCCCCCCCCCUCUAUAUCCAACCCCAUUGAUAAAUAACGAUUGUCACCUUAGUAAGAUUUUUCAGUGAUUUUUACUUUCCCAAACUUAAUUUCCCUGAAUGCACCGCUUUUAUUAGUUUCCGUUUAAGGAGAUAAAAGCAUAGCAUCUACCUACCUUAUUUGCUUUUGCAGGAAUUGCAUUUGAGAUGUAUUUAGAAACCGUCUAUAGACUGAGGAGUGUUUUGAUUGCAUCAAGUUGCAAUUGCUAUUUAGGUAUUCCAUGCAUGCAGGAGUUUUCAUGAACAAGUUCCUUUAAAUAGUAUGAAAUAUAAAUUGAUUGAAUGAAUUACUGAUAUUAUAGGAUACUUUUCACUGUGCUCAUGAACUGAGUACAGUUCUCCUUUAGGUUCAAAUAGUGUUGACCAUUGUUGAAGUGAUAUCUUACUGAAUGCAUUUUGAAUAAAUUUAUUUGUUUGAUUUGCAAAAGUGUGUUACUGUGCAACAAGAAUGGCUGCAUGAGUAAUGAGACAGAGCAAAUUAGAUGAAGUAGCAGGGAGGAUUCAGGGGAGGCUGAUGGUUUGGGAGGCAUUCCAGCUACACAGCCUCUGCCAGGGCCCUCACCACACCCCUGGAAAGGAGAGAUAUUCCUCCACAGUUGAGCAUAACUCUGGAGCACAUUGUUGGCCAGCUGGAUGUGCUCACACAGACAGUUUCAGUUUUGGAACAAAUGCUGACGAUGACUGGGAAUAAAUUUCGAAAAUGCCUGGGUAACCAACAGCGGCGUCAGUAUAAAGAGACUUAAUCGAGGGUCUCAAUGGGGUGAUGGCUUUUACGGCUAACGGUUAAAAUUUUGGCCAAUUUACGGCUAACGGUUAACACCUUUCCAUUGUUUCCCCCAGACAUAUUGUUUGCGGUAAACUUUUUUUACGACUAACGGUUAAAAUUUGUCAAUUUUUACGCCUAACGGCUAAAUUUUUUGGCCGUUUUACGGCUAACGGUUAUCCCCAUUAAGACCCUCUUAAUCACUAGAUAUUUUCAGAAUUCUUUUAAGACUAGUCUUUGUAUGGUAAUAUUGUAAACUAUGAGAGAAAUUUUCAACUGAGUGUCGAAAAUAGUCAUGGAUAUAGUCAUGGGCAUUGGUUUAGCUUGACUAUAGUCUGUUAUUGGUUUAGAGAGCCUAUGCCGCCCUCUUGACCAAUCAGGUACGAGCCUUAUCAAGAUCGAGUGUGGAGUAGGGCCAUUCGUAUAUUUCCAACGCUUCAGGCUCUUUGCCAGUUUUUUUCUUUGAGUUAUCUUUGGCAUUUUAUUAUAUUUCCUUUAUUAGAGCAGUUUCCAACUGAGUAUCAAAAGUGAUGCUGGAUUGCUUUGGUUUUGCUUCACUUCGUUGUGUGAUUGGUCCAGAAAACUCGUGUCACAAUCUCAACCAAUCAAAUGUAAAACUAAAACCAAACACGACUUGGUCACUCGCGUUUUCCCGCGCUUUAAGGAGGUUGCCUGUUUCUACUCUGUGUUCUCAUUGGCUAAUAAUCAUGGUAACCUUUUUUUCUGAUUGGUAGUUGUCAUCACAACUGGAUUUGGUUUUUCGAUACUCAAUUGAAAAGUGCUCGACGAUUGGCAGUUGUGAUCAAUUUGGAUUUGGUGAUCCAGUUGUGAUCAAUUUGGAUUUGGACACUCGAUUGAAAUUCGCUUUUUGAGAAUACAGUGUUGUAUAUCUGUGUGCAUGUACAUAUCAUAUAAAGUUACU